This 339-nucleotide ribosomal RNA is filed under the name uncultured Desulfocapsa sp. RNAcentral's name for it is "bacterial SSU rRNA". It matches the Rfam family "Bacterial small subunit ribosomal RNA", at positions 1039 to 1382 of the family's 1533-position model. Lineage: Bacteria; Pseudomonadati; Thermodesulfobacteriota; Desulfobulbia; Desulfobulbales; Desulfocapsaceae. The record is from RNAcentral.
UGCUGCAUGGCUGUCGUCAGCUCGUGUCGUGAGAUGUGGUUAAGUCCGCAACGAGCGCAACCCUUGUCUUUAGUUGCCAUCAUUCAGUUGGGCACUCUAAAGAGACUGCCGGUGUCAAACCGGAGGAAGGUGGGGAUGACGUCAAGUCCUCAUGGCCUUUAUGACCAGGGCUACACACGUACUACAAUGGCCGGUACAAAGGGCAGCCACUUAGCGAUGAGGAGCCAAUCCCGUAAAGCCGGUCUCAGUCCGGAUUGGAGUCUGCAACUCGACUCCAUGAAGUUGGAAUCGCUAGUAAUCGCAGAUCAGCACGCUGCGGUGAAUACGUUCCCGGGCCUU